RNAcentral lists this small RNA (664 nucleotides) under Aspidostemon parvifolius. RNAcentral describes it as "eukaryotic LSU rRNA". The stretch from base 262 to 417 matches the Rfam family "5.8S ribosomal RNA". Lineage: Eukaryota; Viridiplantae; Streptophyta; Magnoliopsida; Laurales; Lauraceae. The record is from RNAcentral.
AAGGAGAAGUCGUAACAAGGUUUCCGUAGGUGAACCUGCGGAAGGAUCAUUGUCGCGCGGAGAGGACCAACACGCGAACCGGUUCCGCCGGCGCGCCGCGGGGCCCUCCGACGCCUUCCGGCCGUCCUCCUCGGGGGACGCCGCGCGGCGCCGGCGGGGCCCCCGCGGGGCGCCAGAGACUCAGGGCGCGUCGCGCGCCAAGCACUCGAAGCGAAGGGUGCGGCGGCCUCGCCCGCCGCACGUCCCUGUCGAACGAAACACGACUCUCGGCAACGGAUAUCUCGGCUCUUGCAUCGAUGAAGAACGUAGCGAGAUGCGAUACGUGGUGUGAAUUGCAGAAUCCCGCGAACCAUCGAGUCUUUGAACGCGAGUUGCGCCCGAGGCCGCCCGGCCGAGGGCACGCCUGCCUGGGMGUCACGCCCCCGAUCGCUCCCCCGCCCCGGCGGGAGGCGGAGACUGGCCGCCCGUGCGCGUUCGCGCGCGGCCGGCCCAAAGCGCAGGCGGCUUCCGCGCCGCGCGGCGCGACGUGUGGUGGUCCGGAGGCGCGAGCCGCGGAGGAUCGGACGUCGCCCGCGGCGCGGCAGCCCGUGGGAUCCAGAGGCCCCGCUCCGGCGGGCGCCCGGACCGCGACCCCAGGUCAGGCGGGACCACCCGCUGAGUUUAA